UUGAUUUCCAUUAAUCGUGAACCUUGUUUUAAUGUAAUUUAAUUCAUUUUUUUUUUAAAAACAUCGCAAACACAAUACUAAUAAGAUAUUAAAUAACAUAUAAAGACUAAUUCCGAACUGCAAAAAUGUGUAUUUGUUUCAAACGGGUGUGUCAAAACCUUUUUGGGGACAAUCGUCAAAGUGACAAUCCAUCUAUUAUCAUAGUACGUGUGUAGAUAGUAAAUCCAGCGAGCAGGAGCAGUAAAGGCUCGUCGAAGAAAAACAAAAAUCAGAAUGACUUAAAUGAAAUGCACGUUAUCGCCCAUAAUCUGCAGCAAGGUCCGAGUGCGGAUGGCCCAUCUGUAAAUCCCGAAACGAUUGAAGCAGGAAACGUACAAAUUACCAUAAAACACAAUGAUAGGGAUACGGCAAUCAUCAUAGCAAAAGGUGAAGAAGCGGAGGUUAACACAAGCAAAGGUCAGAAAAAAAAACAACCCAUAAAAAAAGAUACGGCGGAAACUAGAAAAAAUGAGAGAAAAUCACCGAGGAAAAAUUCACCUAGAAAAAAAUAAACGU
This is an RNA transcript of Acyrthosiphon pisum (pea aphid), 555 nucleotides long. RefSeq lists it as uncharacterized. The transcript has 2 exons. The record is from RefSeq and is a predicted model, not a curated record. NCBI's taxonomy places the organism in Eukaryota, Metazoa, Arthropoda, Insecta, Hemiptera, Aphididae.